This 1116-nucleotide long non-coding RNA is filed under the name Musa acuminata (dwarf banana). Its description in RNAcentral is "long non-coding RNA (MACU_LNC004488)". Lineage: Eukaryota; Viridiplantae; Streptophyta; Magnoliopsida; Zingiberales; Musaceae. The record is from RNAcentral.
UUCGGUGUAUGAAGUCCAUUAUCUUAUAUACUCUGAUAAUAUCAGCCCCACUACUUAAAAAGAUGGAGACAGGAGAAGCGGGUUCCGAUAUGGUUGCGGUGAGGUCCACUUCCUCCAGGUUCCCGAUUCGGGCUCCAUCGACUCUCCAAUGCUGCAGGCAAUUGAGAAAAAGGUAUUAUCCAUGCAUCUCACUUUUCCUCUCUCCUACUCGUGUUUGGGCCCGCUUGAUUUUAUAUAUGUAUGGCGACGAGGACAAUUCGUCUAAAUAGAAGAAGAAAAUGAAAGCAUCCUGGGUUGGAUUGCCAUUUAGGAGAAUGAAAUAAUUGUGAAUGAUAUUACUCGGCAGUUUUAGUCUUUAAUGUGUUUGAUAUAUUGUCAAAGCGACAACUGAGCGAAACUCGUCGCCUACUACUCACCGCUACUAUCAAGGCCUGCAUUUGUAGCUUAUUUUCAGAUAAAAUUGGAGCCAUCAAUUUAGUGCUUAUUCAUAAUUUCAUGGUUGUUCUUGUCUUCCCAGGACAUCCUUUGCAUUUUAUUCAAGCAUCAUCCAGAAUCAGCUAGGUGAGCGUAUUGGGGCCAAAGGUUGGAGUUAGUUUAAAACGAAAAGAAGCAUCACCAAAGAAAGUACCUAGGGAAUAUGUCAAAAAUAGUAAUUUGAUGUCUAGAACAAAGUAUCAUUAGAUUUCCCUGCUGAACAUAGCACAUCAAAUGUCAUGUAGUCGCUAAAGUCGAUAUAUGGCAAAUGAGUCUUUCGCUUGGUACCAUAUGCUAAGAAGAUCUAUGGCAAAGGACAUUUUCACCGCAAGAGUUGAAGCUUUUCUGAUUAAAGAGAUGAAUUAGCUGAUCUUUAGACAAUUCACGUCUUUCACAUAAUUCUGAGCUGUCUUUUACAUUGUUGCUUUAUUCUUUAUUUUUAAGUGGAAACAUUCAUCCGUCGACAAGAUUGUCUGUUUUAUAAGAGUAAAAAUCACUAUAAUAGUCCUUACAAAGUAUAUCCUGAACAUAUGCAUUUCCUUUUUCUUACUUGCUUUACCUUUAGCAUAUUAAGGAACAACCGGAUGCAGAUGUUGUCAUCAUGAAGGAUGCCUUUGGAGAUGGUCGACGUGUAAGGUUAGC